Molecule: ribosomal RNA, 506 nt
Filed under: uncultured bacterium
Lineage: Bacteria
Description: partial 16S ribosomal RNA
Rfam family: Bacterial small subunit ribosomal RNA
Source: RNAcentral
AGUGAACGCUGGCGGUAGGCCUAACACAUGCAAGUCGAACGGCAGCACAGGAGAGCUUGCUCUAUGGGUGGCGAGUGGCGGACGGGUGAGGAAUACAUCGGAAUCUACUCUGUCGUGGGGGGUAACGUAGGGAAACUUACGCUAAUACCGCAUACGACCUACGGGUGAAAGCAGGGGACCUUCGGGCCUUGCGCGAUUGAAUGAGCCGAUGUCGGAUUAGCUAGUUGGCGGGGUAAAGGCCCACCAAGGCGACCAUGCGUAGCUGGUCUGAAGGGAUGAUCAGCCACACUGGAACUGGAACACGUUCCAGACUCCUACGUGAGGCAGCGGUGUGGAAUAUUGAUCAAUGGGCUCAAACCUGAUCCAGCCAUGCUGCGUGGGUGAAGAAGGCCUUCGGGUUGUAAAGCCCUUUUGUUGGGAAAGAAAUCCGGCUGGCUAAUACCCGGUUGGGAUGACGGUACCCAAAGAAUAAGCACCGGCUAACUUCGUGCCAGCAGCCGCCGUAA